GUCUACAGACAUGCCACCCUGAACAAGCCCGAUCUCGUCUGAUCUCGGAAGCUAAGCAAGGUCAGGCCUGGUUAGUACUUGGAUGGGAGACCACCUAGGAAGACCAGGUGCUGUCGGCA
This 119-nucleotide ribosomal RNA is filed under the name Pteropus alecto (black flying fox). Lineage: Eukaryota; Metazoa; Chordata; Mammalia; Chiroptera; Pteropodidae. The record is from RNAcentral.